RNAcentral lists this long non-coding RNA (883 nucleotides) under Androctonus crassicauda. The record is from RNAcentral. Lineage: Eukaryota; Metazoa; Arthropoda; Arachnida; Scorpiones; Buthidae.
CAAUGAUAAGAGAAUUAUUGAUUUGACAAUUUUAACAAAAACAAACAAUAGCAAUACAUUUAAAGAGAAUUACAAAAUAAUGAUAAAUUGUUUUCAUUUUUAAUUAAAAUUUGUAAGGAGGAAUAAACAAGAUUGACCAAAAAUCACUCUAUGGUUGACUGGUCAAUUGCGAUUGACAGGUUGAGCACCACUGAUAUAUACAAUAUAAGCAUUUUUCUCCAAAUUUACAACUUAUUAUGUGUAUCUGUUUUUAUGCACUUGUUAAUAAAAAGUAAUCCAAUAAGUGGGCCUAUAUUAUUUCUAAAAAAUUUGAGGUUUGGGGGCUCAGAAUUGAAUUCAGAUCCUCUGAGAUGAUGAGCCACUCUUUUUCCACACAGCCAUUCAUUUACUUAUGUACUUUUUCUUUAAUAUAAUUAAAGAACAUUAUUCAUUUAAUACAUUUUUCUGAUAUACUAGUACUAUAUAGUUUGUACUCCAUUUAUAUAAGUUGUGGAUUUUCUGUUUAUAAAUUGAAUUUUUAGAUGAAAAAAUUUUUCCAUAAUUCACUACUUUUAAUCUAAUUCUUGAAAAUUUUUUAAUCCAUGCAAAAAGAAUUUCUUUUAGAAGUAUGGGAAUCAAAAUGUUGAUGGGAAAUGAAAAAAUGUUCAAUUUUGACCAAAAAAAUGUCCUGUGAAAAUGUUCAAUUUCAUACUGGUUUUUAUUAUUUCCUGUAGAAAAAUGAACCAGUUUAUGGCCAUGUUAUGAUCAAAAUUACUAAAAUUUUUCUAUAUCCUAUAUCAAAGCAAUAUACUAGUAAUAAAAUUUUAGAUGAUAUAAACUAUAUACAACAGUCUUAAUUCAAUAUUUACAUGGGGGAUUAUCCAAAUAACUCUAAACUAGCCAG